RNA transcript from Arachis stenosperma, 1239 nucleotides. RefSeq lists it as uncharacterized. NCBI's taxonomy places the organism in Eukaryota, Viridiplantae, Streptophyta, Magnoliopsida, Fabales, Fabaceae. The transcript has 7 exons. The record is from RefSeq and is a predicted model, not a curated record.
UAGAAAAUUAGAAAUGACUCGAAGACAUGGUGUUUUGAAGAAUGAUACCCCACGUUAUCAUAAUUAUCAAGGGUUCAUUUGAUGGCAAUUCUCAGUCUCCAAACUCCGAAUCCCAUUCCCGCCAUCACCACAACCACCAAACACUUGUUCCCUUUCACUUCUAGAAGGACCCUCUUUCUCCAAACUCCUUUUCUUUCCAUUGCCAUUGCCCUCAUUCCACAAGCCCCACUUCUCCACUCUUCAGCUCAAGUUUCGCCCUCCAAGCCUCUCCUUUCUGCCAUCGAAAACACCAAAUCUUGGUUUCAGUUCUAUGGUGAUGGCUUCGCCAUUCGAGUCCCUCCUGAUUUUCAGGAUAUCAUGGAACCAGAGGAUUUUAAUGCUGGGCUGUCUCUUUACGGAGACAAGGUGAAGCCAAAGACAUUUGCUGCGCGAUUUGCAUCACCCGAUGGAUAUGAGGUUCUGAGUGUUGUUACUCGACCGACCAAUCAACUUAAAAUCACCUUCUUAGAGGCUCAGGAUAUAACUGAUUUAGGCUCCUUGAAGGACACAGCAAAAAUAUUUGUUCCAGGUGGUGCAACACUUUAUGCUGCACGAUCCAUAAAAAUAAAGGAAGAUGAUGGCUUUAGCAGUCUCGAGUGUGAGUCUUGGGUAAAAGAUAAAAACCGAUGCUGGGAGAGUUAGAACUGGAUUAGUAAGACUCCUUACAAGAGAGUUUGGAUAUCGAUCGCAGAGACACACAAAAAGAAAAGAAGACUUGAACUAUAUAGGUCAACCUGUCAAAGGCUUUGUCUUUGAGGAUAAAAUCCAUGUAGGAAUUUCUAUUUUUAAAAAUAAAACGGUGAAGAAAAAAAAACGGGGUGUCUAAAGAAAUGAAGGUCUACAACUAUCUACGGCUUGAUUAAUUUUGUAAUUUGUAUGUCAUCUAGAAGCAACCUUGUUGAGCUCUAUUACAUGCCACAUUGAGUCUUUUCUUCCCCCUUAUAACUCUUUAACGCAGGACUUACUAUUUCUAUGAAUUUGGUAGAGAUGAGCAGCACAUAGCAUUAGUUGCAGGUGUCAGUGGUGGAAAGGCAAUCAUUGCCGGAGCAACGGCGCCACAAUCCAAAUGGGACAGUGAUGGUGUAAAACUUCGAUCUGCUGCUGUAUCGCUUAAAAUUCUCUAGUCAUAUGCUCGAAUUUCUUAACUUGUUACUUUCACAGUUUCACUCAUUUUUCCUAUGCUAUAGUAGCGGUUCUCAA